RNAcentral lists this unclassified non-coding RNA (328 nucleotides) under soil metagenome. RNAcentral's name for it is "partial contains 5.8S ribosomal RNA, internal transcribed spacer 2, and large subunit ribosomal RNA". The stretch from base 1 to 120 matches the Rfam family "5.8S ribosomal RNA", at positions 35 to 154 of the family's 154-position model. The record is from RNAcentral.
GAUGAAGAACGUAGCGAAAUGCGAUAAGUAGUGUGAAUUGCAGAAUUCAGUGAAUCAUCGAAUCUUUGAACGCACAUUGCGCCCCUUGGUAUCCCGAGGGGCAUGCCUGUUCGAGCGUCAUUUCACCACUCAAGCCUGGCUUGGUGUUGGGCGACGUCCCCUUUGGGGACGCGCCUCGAAACGCUCGGCGGCGUGGCACCGGCUUUAAGCGUAGCAGAAUCUUUCGCUUUGGAAGUCGGGGCCCCGUCUGCCGGAAGACCUACUCGCAAGGUUGACCUCGGAUCAGGCAGGGAUACCCGCUGAACUUAAGCAUUCAAUAAGCGGAGGA